Molecule: long non-coding RNA, 801 nt
Organism: Camelina sativa (false flax)
Lineage: Eukaryota; Viridiplantae; Streptophyta; Magnoliopsida; Brassicales; Brassicaceae
Source: RefSeq, a predicted model, not a curated record
AAGAGCCUCUUAAUUAAGGCGUUUAAGAAUCUCUAAGAAGCGUCGACGUGCUCAAAAAUUACAUUUUUUUUUUUCUUCUCUCUCGCAAUGAAGGUUGCGAAAUUGAUUGAGAUUUCUCAAUGAUCUGUUGGAAGUGGAGUAGAUUGAUUCGAUUUUUGGUCACCAUUCGUCUGUUCUUGGCCGUUAGCUCAGCCUCUCCACCGAUGGUGGAUCUCAACGGUGACUUUCGGUGAGUUAAUCGACGACUUGGUUAGAUGAAAUCGGAGAGCACCAAAUCGGAGCCUUUCCUUCACUAAUUCGGAGAUGUUCAAUCACCAAUCUCUUUCUCAUAGAUCUGUGAAGAUGUUAUCCGCUUAGAACAAGAUCAAGAAGGAUAAGAAUGCUGAACCAACAGAUUGCCAGGAGCAAGUUGCUCAGGCACAUGGAUAUCUCUCGAAACCGCAAAGUUGUUGUGAUUUAAUUACAUCCCAUUCAGAAGGAUAAUGCGUCCUCCCAAGAAAGGUGCUGCUGUUCAGAGGCCACGUAACAGGACUCUAACCUCUGUUCAUGAAGCAAUGCUCGAAGAUGUUGCUUUCCCCGCUGAGAUUGUUGGAAAGCGUACUUGUUACCGUUUUGAUGGGUCCAAGAUCAUGAAGCUAUUAUAUCAUCUAUGAAAGAGUAAACUCAGAUCUUUCUCUUCAUGAGUUUAAGCUCAUCUUUACCUUCUCUUUUAAAUGUGUAAACAUUUAUGUUCUACUUCAAAUAUUUUUAUUUUGAAAACAAUAUUUUUCAAAAAUAAGAAUCUCAUUAAGAAAUUGACCA